RNAcentral lists this long non-coding RNA (207 nucleotides) under Brassica napus (rape). RNAcentral's name for it is "long non-coding RNA (BNAP_LNC014287)". The record is from RNAcentral. Lineage: Eukaryota; Viridiplantae; Streptophyta; Magnoliopsida; Brassicales; Brassicaceae.
GUUAAAUGUUGAUGGUUUAGGGUUUAAAGUUGAAUUUUAGGGUUUAGGGUUUAGGAUUGAUGUUUAGGGUUUAGAGUUGAAGGUUUUGAGUUUAGGGUUUAGAGUUGAUGUUUUAGGGUUUACGUUUUAGAGUUGAUGUUUCAGGGUUUAGGGUUCGUAUUUCAAAAAAAAUAGGGUUUAUGAUUGAUGGUUUAGGGUUCAUAUUUU